Molecule: RNase P RNA, 407 nt
Filed under: Williamsia sp.
Lineage: Bacteria; Bacillati; Actinomycetota; Actinomycetes; Mycobacteriales; Nocardiaceae
Description: RNase P RNA component class A
Rfam family: Bacterial RNase P class A
About the family: Ribonuclease P (RNase P) is a ubiquitous endoribonuclease, found in archaea, bacteria and eukarya as well as chloroplasts and mitochondria.
Source: RNAcentral
ACUACAAACCGAACUAUCGAGCUGGUGCAUGCCAGUUAGGAAAGUCCGGACAGCGCAGGGCGAUGCACCGGUGAAGAGCCGGGAACCAGGCUGUGAUAAACAGCCGGGUUACAGACAGUGCCACAGAAAAUAACCGCCAGUAAAACUGGUAAGGGUGAAAAUGCAGGGUAAGAGCCUGCGUGUAUGGAAAGAGAUUUUUAUACAGGGUAAACCUUGCAUGCUGAAAUGCCAUGUAAACCCGGUGCUGCCCGUUGUACUUGUUACAAAGGGGCGGCUUGAGCUGCUCGUGCAAUGCUAUCCGGUUGGAUAGAGCCGGGAGGGUAGGCAGAAAGAGGUGACUGAGCAAUCAGCAUCCCAGAUAAAUGAUAGUUUAGAAACAGAAUCCGGCUUAUGAGUUUGUAGUUUUU